UACGGAGGGUGCAAGCGUUAAUCGGAAUUACUGGGCGUAAAGAGCGCGCAGGCGGUCGUUCAAGUCGAGUGUGAAAGCCCCCGGCUCAACUGGGGAGGGUCAUUCGAUACUGAUCGACUCGAAGGCAGGAGAGGGAAGCGGAAUUCCCGGUGUAGUGGUGAAAUGCGUAGAUAUCGGGAGGAACACCAGUGGCGAAGGCGGCUUCCUGGCCUGUUCUUGACGCUGAGGCGCGAAAGCUAGGGGAGCAAGCGGG
RNAcentral lists this ribosomal RNA (253 nucleotides) under uncultured bacterium. RNAcentral describes it as "partial 16S ribosomal RNA". It matches the Rfam family "Bacterial small subunit ribosomal RNA", at positions 524 to 776 of the family's 1533-position model. The record is from RNAcentral.